Molecule: unclassified non-coding RNA, 804 nt
Filed under: Hevea brasiliensis (rubber tree)
Lineage: Eukaryota; Viridiplantae; Streptophyta; Magnoliopsida; Malpighiales; Euphorbiaceae
Source: RNAcentral
GUUAUUAGCUGCCAUGGCACACCUGAAACAGAUAGAAAGGCAUUCAAUUUCAUCUCUAAUAGUUUUUGCUUUGCUCUUAAUUCUAUGAAUUUCAUCAGUCUUUUUAUGUUAGUACUGUUUUUGUUUUUGUCAUUCUCAUUUCAUUCUUAUCUGCCAUUAUAGCAAGCUAAACAAGGAAAUCACAAGCCCUUUUUCUUCUACCAUUUUUUCAGGGAUUUGAAGUUAAACAUUUAUAAGAGAAAUCGACUUUGGCAUAAUGAGUGCUUAUACCCACACACUAGCUUAAUCUUUUCCCCCUAAUGGAGAAAAAUAAGAGACAGCUCACCUUAGAAAAAUUUAGCCAUUACACCCACAAAUAUAUAACUAGAUCCCACCACUAAUUGAAAACUUUAGUAAAGUUUAGAAUAACUACACAAAUAGACACAACAUGUAGCAAACAUUAUCGAAAUAUAACAUUUGAAUAAAACUUGGCAAUUUGUGGAUGCAGACAUUUAUUGUGUACAUGGGUGACCGUCCAAAGGGUGAUUUUUCUGCAACAGCUUUUCAUACCAGCAUGCUACAAGAGGUUGUUGGCAGGUUAACAUUUUAACUAGACUUAAAUUUUAAGAGGCUAAAAUGUGACCUAAUAAGAUAACUAGUAAUUUCAAUUUGGGAUUAGUAAGUUUGUCCCAUCCAGUGAGGUUUAAGGAGCUAACUCUCUUAGUGGAUUAAUUUAACAGUGGUGCAUCAGAUUUUUUGGUCCACAGCUAUCACAGGAGCUUCAAUGGCUUUGUUGCUAAGUUGACUGAAGAGGAGAAGCAGAAA